This is a long non-coding RNA of Corvus hawaiiensis (hawaiian crow), 7356 nucleotides long. RefSeq lists it as uncharacterized. The record is from RefSeq and is a predicted model, not a curated record. The transcript is spliced from 7 exons. Lineage: Eukaryota; Metazoa; Chordata; Aves; Passeriformes; Corvidae.
GUUAAACAUAUGUUAACGUGAGUUCUGAGUGUAUCUUCUGAAGGAAACUAUGUUUUACUUUAGCCUUGCAAACUAUUUCAUUUCUCUCAAGAUCAGGUCAUGAGAUCUCUGGGCCUGACAAGUAGAAAAUUAAGACAAUGGUAUCUACAAUUAGAGUGUGAAGUUCAAAUGACGUGACAUGGGAAGAAGUUAUGGAAAAGGAUCCUGUCCCUUUGCUUGUGUUUGAAGUGUAAUACAUGUGGUUUAACAGUUGUGAGGGAUCCUCUUGGAUCCAGUGAUGCUACUUAAGGUAGAAAGCACCAGAACAAGCAGAAAAUGGUGCAAAAUUUGCUAUAUGAAACACUGGUAAAGGUAAGAUGGAAUGCAGCAAAAAUCGAUGUGCUUGUGCCAGUGCUAUGAUACUAAAUAUUUCAAAUUAUUCUGCUUUGCCCUCCUGCCUAGAAUGUUGACUUGUGUGUGGAGCUGAAUUAAACUCUUCUACAUGCAAGGGGUUCCAAUUCCCCAGUUAUUUGUGAGAUGCUUGAUGCAGUUGUCCUUGAUGAGCUAGUGGAUACUUAAAGAUGUUGGAUUUCUCUGCUGAUUCCAAUUGAGGUGUUUGAAAGUCAGCAGUUUGGGGUUUAUGCACAGCAAUGGGUACUUGAGAGUCUGUGGCCAUUUAUGCUUUUGGAUGUCCUGGAAAAUAAUUUAGUGAAUGACAGGUCCAGAGCAAUGGCAAUGUGUGUGAGCAGUCAGCUGGGAAAAAAGAGAGCCUGGUUACAGGAAUUAUAAAUGAGAACAACAGUUGGACUUGAGGAGAACAAAAUGAGCUAAAAAUACAGCCCAGGAGUAAAUGGUCAGAAAUAAAGGGAGACAGUUUGGACUUGAUAAUAGUUUUGUCUCCAGUAAACACUCUUAAGCUCAUGUUCCUGAAGGAGGGAAAAUAAUACAGAAGUGAAAUCUACACCAAGGGAGCCACUCAUCCAUCCUGGAUAGAUCUCUGAAUGCUGUAGCUGCCUGGGAAUGGGAGAAGAAGAAAAGGAACCACAGGGGAGGUUUGGUAUCUUGGCUGCCAAGGGCAAAAGAGAACUUGCAGUUCUCUGGGUACAACAGAUGAGAUUUCUGCUGCACACAGAGAAAAUGAGCCUAACAAUGACACGGGCCUGUAGAUAAGAGGGAGAGCUGCCAGGAUGAAAGAAGGUAGCUAUUUGGCUGUGGUACAGAUUUUCUUUUGAUUGUCACUGAAAAACAUCCCCUGACUGGCAUGGAACAUGAAUCCUUUCCGUGAAGAUAUUGCCACGCCUUUUGCUGGGAGACUUGGAGGGCUGAAUGCUAUCCACACCUCCCAGCUGUGCUGCAAAGGGACCGGUGCCAUGGCUUUUGUGUGAGGCUGCCCAGUGCCCAGUUUGCCUUUCAGAGGGAAACUACUUUGUCUUUGGCUGGUACUGAACAAGGUUUCACAGGCCUUGGACAAAUUGAACAUUGUUUGAAACCAUGCAUUCCUCUGCUGGCUGCUGUUCCUCAUGUCUGUUUCUCUCCUGUUUAUUGAAGUUCUUCUUACAAACUUCUUCCCAGUGGUCAUAGCUUGCACUUUCCUGUUUGUGGUUUGUUACUAGAUCAGACUGGAGCACUUGAAUAGCUGUAGUUAGGUGUUAAAAAUGCUGCAGUUCACUUACAAGAGCUGUAACUGAUGAAGUCCCUCACAGUGAACUUCUUGGAAAAUAUUUUAAUCCAAUUUCACUGGAUUAGCAGCACGCAUACAAAGCAGCAGGUGGUCUAGUGGCUGUAAUGGAGUAUUUAUUUCCUGUUUCUCGGGUUCACAGAGACAUUCUGAAGUUGCUUUCAACCUGAUUUACCCUUUAGUCCUGAGUUUUGUAGUCAAAUUUCCAUACAGGACAUCUUCCUUAGCUGGGUAUCACUGGAAAGGAGAAGCAGGCAGGAGAAGAGAGAAGGAGGAAUAUUUUUAUUAAUUCUGAUGGCUUAAAAUCAACCUUCCUCAAGCCAUCUCAUCUUCCUAAAAGCAGUACUGCCUGUACUGAAUUAGAAACUCAUUAACACAUCAGUCACAUUAAAAACCAAACCCAAACAGCUUGGGAAUAGAUUAUUUUUUGGGGCAUCUCCCAGCAAGUCAAGAAACUCCCAUAACUCAUCCUGGUGACAGGCAUUGUUGACCUUGUUUAGCAAAUACAAACUGAUUUCACCCAAGCACUUUGCCAAAGAACUUACCAAAUAACCUGCAAUAACAUCUUACUGCAUUUAAAUAUGGGGUAAAGACAAAAAAAAAAAAUUAAAAAUGCUACAAAAGCCUGAUGGCAAAACCAGUAUAAAGCCUCUGAAUAAUUGCUUCUCUUCUAGGUCUUUGUUUUAUUAAAAAGUGUUGGGCACAAAUACCCACAAUCUUAUCCAGGAAGACGACAGGAGGACAAAAGCUGAACACAAACCAAGCCCCUACAGGAGUCUGGAGCAGCAUAAGAUCAUUAUAACAGCUUGAACCAUUUGUACUGCCUUCUUUUAUGAGGAACAAAGGCAAUUCAUUCAUUUGGGCUGCUGGUGCACACCAGCAGAGAGAAAGGGUAACAGCAUAAUCUGUCAGGGCGUUGGCUUGGCAGGCAGUGGGUUGUGUUUCCACCUGGAGGCUGCCAAGUCCUGACUGAGUCCAGAUUUCAGACUUCAGUCUCUGCCAUUGGCAGCAAAAUGAAGGAUCCUGUGAAGGGGUGUUUGCAAAGGGCCAAAUGCUGCGCCAAGAACAUCUCUUAUACAUCCGUCAUUAUAGGGACAGAUAUUGCACAGGAAAUGCUGAAAGGAAUAGAGAUGCUUUUAUAAAUGACAGCUUGCUUUUUAGAAUUGCUUCUUCCUCACUCACACCCUCCCCCCCAAAAAAAAACCAACCCACAAAAAAACCCAAACAAACAAAAAACAAACCAAACCAAACAAGAAGGCAAAACAGAACAAACAAGCAAAAAACCUGGGAAGCUUCCUGAAGAAAUGUAGUUGCCUGAGGCAAGAAUUUAUGACGUCUUGCUGGGCUGGAAACUGGUUGCUUCCUUGGACCAGAGGAUGAGCAAGGGAAGGAAGUGAGGUAAUUUCACACAGUUGUACCUCUGUUUGAGCAGGUGAUCUGGAUGUGGUUGAAAUUUUAAAACUUAUGUUGUUGUAAUUCCCUGAUAACUUUCUUGUUGUAAAGUAUUUAAAUCUUGAUAGUGUGCCCCAGCCAAACCAUUUUUAGUUAUUUUUACCAGAGUCCUCAGAGUGAGACCAGGCUGGAAUUACCCUCAUUGGCUUCACCUGGCCUUUCCACCUUCAGCUGCAGCACAUCAGCCCCAAGAGGGGUUUUUAAGAUCCAGUCUGAAGACUCGAGGGGAGACCAGGGGCCGUUUUAUAUCUGCUCCUUCUCUUUUGCUGGCUUGUUGUUUGGAUUUCCUGGACUAACUUGGCUGCUGAUCACUGGAUGGGUUUGGUUGCUGUCAUCAUCUUGAUGCUGCUUGCCUGGAUCAGGAGCCCCACCUGUUAGAGCCCUCAGGAAUUCAUCAAGGACUGAAAGAACAUCUGCUCCAGCGUUUCUAGCACAGCAUGGAAGAGCAUUAUCCUGGUUUCGGGCUUAUCUGGCUCCAGCAGCAUCAGGAAUCCCAGCCAUCAAUGUGCUCCCUCUUGAGAGCAAACCCACUGCAGGUGUGUCAGCUGGCUGCACUCACAUCCACGGGCUCGUGCUCAUGGCACAUCACCACAACUGCAAAUCUGGGGGAGUUUUACAGUUAUUUAUUGCCCUACCGAGGAACCAGCUGACCUAAUCACUCUGGGUUUUGUGAUUCAUGUGAAGAACAGUAACUGAUGUCAGCCAGAAAAGAAACAUCUGAAGCUGUGGGCAAAUUUCCAUUAAAGAUUUUUCUGAAGCUGUUUUGUUUAUCACCACGAUCAUCUGGAGCUGUGCAAUGUGACACCAAGAUCCUUGCUUGAAGUGCUGAUGGUUUUACCAAUGACUUGGUGACAGCCUCAGCCCUCCUCUGACACGAGCACAAGCAGGGACAGCACUUCCAUUUCAAGCACAGCAUACAUCCCAAACCUGUCAAGUGAGUGGCAAGGGUGGCAGUGCCUGUCACAUCUCUGCUUUUGGAAAAGAUCAGAACCCUGCUGGCACAGCCCUACUGCAGUUUCUGUAGCAGAUCUCAGACAAGAUGUUCCCCAGGAGACUUUUUGAGAUCACUGCUUUUCAGAUACCUGUUCUCUCCUUCAUCCUAACCCCUUCUACUGCCUUAAGACAAAAUCCUCUCAAGUGCUUAAGAAAAUAUAUUUCCUCAGAAAUUACAGGAAUAAACCCUCAUGGCUCUACAGAACUUGGAUCUGAGAAAAGAGAGCUUUCACCUUAGGAGAAGACAGCCAGUAUUUCUGAUAAAAAGUAAAAUUUAUGGGACUGAAGUUUACCGUACUGCUGAGUGAAAUCUGAGACAUGACAUCCGUGUUGGCAUUUCUGCUGUAGAAGAAUUUACCCUUCAUCCACAGUCUUUGCCAGGCUAUCACUGGUACAUAGCACUGAGGAGAAGUGGGCAUGAUAAUUAACAUGGCUUAAUUUGUCACCAAGACAUUUUGGCUGUUUGCACUUAAUAAGUCAAAUUUUUUGGUUUUGUUAAAGAGGAAAUUUCUGAGCCUUCCAUAAAUAAAGGAUUGUUGAAGCUGUCAGCUUCUGAUCACUGGUGUACGGUGAGACCAGUUUAUUUUUCAGCUUCAGCAUCCUCUGGAACCUGAUUGAUUUUUAUAUUGCUUUUCUGCCUGAACAUGAUUCCAUCUUCCCAGAUGAAAACCUGAUACCUUUUCUUCAUGGAGCUCUGGACACAUGAUGACAUUUGAGAAGAAAAUGUCAUUUUGUGCCUGAUGAAGGUGUGAUGAGGUGUGCUGGCCUGGCAGGCCCAGAAGCUGGAGCACAAUCAGAGACAUUAAUGCUAAACUGCAGCAUAAGAAUUGAUAAAUUCAGUAAUCUCAUGGGUACUUUUUGUUGCAAAUGCCAUCCUGAUUGGGUUGGUUUUGCUGUAGAGCAAGAGCAGGUGUGCCUUGAGAGGUUGUGUUGUUUUACAGGGAAGUGCCCCAUCUAAAGGGAACUGCAAGUGAUCGUGGCUUUUAGAUAGUUCUCUCUAGAAGUUAAAUGCUUAUUCCAGCAUAUUUAAUCCUUAAAAAUGGCAAUUAAUAAUUAAAUUUUCCAAGUGGUUAAAUUUUUCCAGUGGAGGAUACAGUAACCUCUGUCCCUGUGUGUGAAGAGCUGAGAAUUUAGUUUUAGGAGCAAUAAACUAAGGGCUUGUUUGAAUUGUAAAAACACAAGCUGAAAAGGGCUGACUUGGGUGUGAGAAGAGUUAAAUAGAAAAAGUUCAGCUCCAUCUCACAUAAAGUUUGCACUGUCUACAUUACCCCCAAUAAACUUGCUGCCAUUAUGAUUUUUUGUUUAACCUUCUGUCCAUAAAGGCCUUAACAAUAUAUAAAAUAAACCCUGGCAAUAGCCUUCAGUACAUUUUUCCAAAGGGAAUUUUGUUACAAAUUUUUGUCCGUGUUUUCUUGAACUCUUGUGCAUUUUUAAGCUGUUUUGUGAUGUGGUUUGGCCUCUGUUGAGUGUCCUAGUCACCUCCAAAUUACAGUGGCUGUUCCCACACUUCUCCUCAUGUCCUGACACACAGGAGGAACCAGGGUGUCUCUGCAGCCUGGGCAGACUAUCAGUCACUUGGAAAAAUGCCUGUUGGCUCAGCUCCAGGCUGCUGAGAGCUAAGUAGGCUGAUGGCAUUCACCCUGAGACAGAAAUCACUACCUCUCUGAGUGGGAGAUUACAAGAAAUUCAUGUAUGUAUAGUACAGAGGGUAUAUAUAUAUAUAUAUAUUCAUCUACAAACCUAUAUAUAUAUAUUUAAAAUGACAGCUGGAAAGUACCUAACGAUUAAAUGCAGACAAAGUCUCUCCCUGCAGAAGGCCAGGAGCCCAAGAGCUGGAAGGGAUCAGCAUCCCCUGCCUGGUCAGCCUGGGAGCAGCAGCUCAGCCUUUGACCCUGGGUGGAGCCUGGUUGUGUCUCCUGGUGGUGUCCUGGCCCACGGGGGUGGCCUGCUGGCCCUGUAAUUUUGCACCCCUCCGAAAGAGCUGGAGAUUUGAAAAAGAGAAGUUUGUGGCAAUGGUUUGGUCUGUGCAGUUGGUUUGUAGCUAAGAUCUCAGGGUAUCAAAACCCAAAAUGAAUCCAUGUCUCAGUCUAUUCUCAGAAACUGAACAUAAUGUGUCUUUUAUAAUGUUCUGCUGCUUGGAGUACGCUGCCAGCUCUUCCAAAUUCAGUGUGUGCCUUGCCAGCCAACAGUCUCACAGAAAUAUAGAUGGCUCUAGAUGAGCCAGGCUGGGCAGAAUAAUAUAGAUAUAUUUAUUAUGACACAAUAAUCUGCAAGCUAUUUUGUAUUGAUAGGCUUUCAUGUCUGAUUUUUUCCUGAGGUCUGAGUGAUAUUUUAUAAAAAUUAUAUCAGGUCCCUGGACAUUAUAGAAUAGAAACAUGUAAAAAGGGGGUUGAUGCUAAAGUUAUAUUAACCAAAUAAUUCAGAAUGAAAAAGCUACAUUUCCAUGAAACUCUUCUCUCAGUGGCAACACCAUGUCUGGUCUAUUUGGCAGAAAGAGGAAAAACAAAGAGGAGAUGAUCAGGAGCAGAUAACAGUUGCAUAAAUAUUAUGCUUAUCUUGAAAUUGGAUUUAUGUCUAGAAGCAGUGUUAAUAAUCAGAGAAGAUAACCACAUAAUUUCAAUUAUUAUAAAGUAAUUUAAGUGUUAAAAGGCUGAAAAUAUUUGCUACUCUUGUUUGAUUCAGUACUAAUAGCAUUACACAGCUUUUUGUUUAAUCCUGGUUCUUUUACCUUUUACUUUUUCUUGUAUCCAAAAGAUACCAAUAUUUUGCCUCACCUUUUCAUCUCAGAAAAGAGAUGAGAGAGGAAAAGGACAGAGUGUUUCCCUCAGAAACUUAGGACUCUGAAUCCCUCAGAAUAUGACUCUGAGGAGGUGGGAAGGCACUUGUUAUUAAAACAAACAUGUAAUUGUAACCUUAGUCAUUGUAAUAGCUUUAUUCCCAUGAGAACUGAAUUUAAAAGAUUAAAAAACCCUUGGGAAUUGAAAGAAGUAGGAGAGGAAACAUCUCCUAUCCAAAAUAGCCACUGUGACUGCAAGAGAUAUUUGGAAUAGUUGUAUUGUGCACUGGGGAAAGGAGGGCUGUGAAGGUAGCUUGGUAUGUAUUUGUUCUUUUAAGGCACAGCUGACAAAAAUAGAUAAGAGGCAGAGAGGCUGGGUCUAGUAAUACUUAUUUUUAGCUCAGUCAUUUGCAUGAAACUGCAUUGCAGCACAUUCAAACAAAGUGGAAACAAAAGCCACUGAAUUUUCUGCAUCACA